UAACAUGUAAAGACAGUAUUUUCCCAAGAGCUUCUCUGCUUCACAAUCUUGGUAAGACGAGUUCCUCCAUAACCAAAAAGCUUCCAUUUUUACACACACACACACACAAAAAAAAAAUAAAAAAAUGAAGCUCUCACUGAAACUCCAAGAACAACCUCAAUCCCUAAACAACCACCAAAAACAACCACAAAGCAACCCACUUCUCAUCCGUGCCAAAAUCCCUAUUUCCAUUUUUAACCUUCCUUUCCUUUCUUGUUUUUCCACCACCACUCACCACCCUUCGGAUCUCUCUCUUUCACUUGCCACCUGUUUCCCUUCUGGUCCCACACUUAAACUAGCUUACUCCACUAACCCCACCACCCCACCCAACCCCACCACCCCUACUGCCCUUCCUUUAACCCUUACCCUCAAAUCUGGAAUUGGUGUUUUUGGUUCUACCAAGAACUCACCUUUAGUCAUUUCUGCUAACUUUAACUUUUCACCUGUUCAACCUUAUCAAAAUCCCACUUUUACCCUUCUUUUUAAACCCCAGUUGGGUUCUUUUUCGCUUCGAAAAAGCACUACUUCUGACCUGAAUUGUGGUUCUAGUGGUGUUGAUAAGCAGAAUGGUGAUGGGAAUUCAUUAGGGUUUGUUCCUUUAGAAAGGCCAAUGAGUUUUAAGGACUUUUCAAUGGAGGAUUAUGCUAAAGAUUCAGUCUUUAAAGGGAUCGCUGUAAUGGCGAAAACGGAGAUGCCUUUAACGAAAAGGGUUAUGAUGGAUUGUCGUUGGGGUGUGAAUUUCCCUAAAGAUUUGGGGAAUAGGAUGCCUUUUUUGAAUGUUAAUAAGAUUGGGAUUAAGAGAGUUGAUGAAGUUAAGGAGGUGAAGGAGAAGAAAGAUGAUAGUUUAGGCGAUACUGAGUUGUUGAAAGGUAUGUGUUUUUGGAUGAAAAAGGAGUUGGAAAUGCUGCAAAGAGAGAAUAGAGAGAUGAAACAUAGGUUGGAUGAAAUGAAUAUGGGGAAUGUUGCUAGGAAGAAUGUUAAUGAGGGGGAGUUUUUAGGUGGGCAAGUGGCUGAGAAUUCGGGUGGAUUUGAGCAGUGGAGGAAUAAGAAGAAUAGUGGGGGAGAGAAUGGGAAGAAAGAAGUGAAGAAGAACACUGCUUCCAAUGGGAAUCGAGCUAGUGAUGUUGAGAGUGAGUUGCAGAAAGCUAUUAAGGCUGCUUCUUCGACAUGAGGGACAAUCCAUGUAUAGGUUUUCUGUGCCAAACAACAUUGCUAGAAAUCCCUUCCCAAACAUGUCCACGACACUCCGUUCAUCGGAAAGAUUCCUGUAUUCGUCCUGCUACUGUAUUAUAUGCCAUGAUUGCCCCUAUACUAGAACUAAAAGGACUUGGUAAGAUCUGGAUUGCAUCUCACUAGUACUCACUCUACCUGCCUUACUUAAGUGCGUAGUUCAAAUCUCAUCUAGUGCUUUAAACUCUUCUAACAUGUUCCUUUUCCCCUAUUGACAAGCUGACUCCUUCCUCUUCUCCGAAAAGCUCUCAAGAAAAAAGAUGAUGUAGAUAGAUAUAUGAAUGCCUUAAUGCAACAUAUUGUUACUCCUAUAAAAUAAUAAGUCAGAUACCAAGAAGAUGACUAAAUCGACUGAGGCAUAAGACAUGAUAAUUUAAAGUUCUUGUAUUUGAAUUGAUUACCAACAUCCAGGAUGAGUUUUUAUGCUAUGCUCCUAUCUUGUGAACAGGUUUAUUGGGCACUUUUGAGAUGUAGUAAGUUGUGCAGUAGAUUAAACGAGGUGUAUGUAAGUUGAUCUAGUCACUAGCAUCUUAAAAAUUAAAACGGAAAGUAAGAAAAUUUACUGGCUUGAACACCAGAGGGAUUGUGCUUGUCCAUUUUGUUUCUCUUAGGUGUAAUGACUCUUGAUUACGAAUUUGGGUAUUCAUGGUCGAGUUUUGCUUAGAAGGAAAUCAAAUAAAUUAAGUUAAAUAUAUACUUGAACCAAAUCAAAUAGAAGUUCUUGUUUUGACGGGUGUUUCGGUAUCUAUAUAAUAUUUUUGAAGACUAAAGUAAAAUAAACUUGCGUGCUAAAGCUUAAAAAUUUGAGUGCCCUAGUGAAACGAAGAAAAAGAAGAAUAAGAUUGAUGUAAAUGUUAAUGCAAGCAGAGUGAUGAAGAAGAAAUUAGAAGAGAGGAAAAGGACUACAAAUUAGUUGGAACAAACAAAACAUAAAACACCAGGUUGUAAAUAGAAAAACUAAACUAUUUUAAAAGAGAAAAUUAAGACAAUGUACAUACUUUCGCAAGAACAUGAGAACGAACUCAGUCAUAUAAACCACACUAGGUAAGCCCCGUGCGAGCUCAGAUUGAGAAGGUUGUUUGCGAGGGGAAUUGAUUCCAGUCACUUGCUGAACCAACUCAGCCACCAUUCAGGUUAUCGACAUGGUUGUUGUGUCAUCUAAACCGUUGCUUUAAGAUGAUGUCCAUGUGGUGCCAUGUCAUCAUAUCCGCCAUCUUAUCAACGGCCACGUGCAGUUCACCUCAACAUACCGUUAAGUAAUGUUCUUUCCACAUGGCUUUUUGGAAAAGAUAACUGCACAAAAUUCUAUUCUAAUCUAAGAUAGUUCAUCCGCCAAUGCUUAUUACUAACUAUAGGCGGUGAUAUUCAACUUAAUAUCAUCCAUGUAUUUGCCAGUGUUUUAACAAUAAUACGUUUAUUCAAACCAUUAUUUGUGACCCUUGUUGUUGUGACUUGUGAUUAAAACUCAAACCAAACAAAACCUUAACCGGACAAACCGAUACUGAAAAGAGAAGAACCGGACUGUAUGAACUUAAUUAAUUCGUGAUGGAAAUGAUUUGAUAUGAAGUUACACAUCAAUUCCUUAAUCAUUUUCACAAUCCAUAUUUAUUGAUAAGGGAUUCGAUUUGAUGUUCUGAACUUAAUCUGGGAUAUACAUAUGGACCAACAAAAGUGUUAGAAAAAAGAAAUAUAAAAUAUGAUCAACUUACAUACUAGACAAAAUGGUAGAACACAUUCUUUGGUCCAACCUUUUUAACCAAAACUAUACAAAUUAUACUACUGUAGACUUUGUUUUUGGAUGAAAAAGGAGUUAGAAAUGCUGCAAAGAGAGAAUAGAGAGAUGAAAAAUAGGUUGGAUGAAAUGAAUAUGGGGAAUGUUGUUAGGAAAGGUGUUAAUGAGGGAGAGUUUUUAGGUGUUCAAGUGGAUAGAGCUAGUGAUGUUGAGAGUGAGUUGCAGAAAGCUAUUAUGGCUGCUUCUUCGACAUGAGGGACAAUCCAUGUAUACGUAUUCUGUGCCAAACAGCACUGCUGGAAUUCCCUUCGCAACAUGUCCACGACACUGCGUUCAUCGGUAACAUUCCUUUAUUCGUCCUGCAACUGUAUAUGCCAUGAUUGGCCCUAUACAAGAACUAAAAGGAUUUAGUAAGAUCUGGAUUGCAUCUCACUAGUUCUCACUCUACAUGCUUUACUUAGUGAAGAUCCCUCAAAGCUCCCUUGGUCUUAUUCCGGACUGCCCAUGCAUCUCUAUGGAAGAUAACUUGGAACUCCAACAACCUUUUCUUGAAGUAGAGGUUCUUGCAGUCUUGAAAGAAUGUGAAGGAGAUAAAUCGCCAGGGCCAGAUGGUUUCACGAUGGGUUUUUAUCAAAAGUGCUGGAGUGUCAUAAGAAUUGAUUUCCUUAAUGCCUUGAAUUAUUUUCAUGCAAAAGAACAUUUCCUUAGGAGUAUCAAUGCUACUUUUAUUACUCAUUCCUAAAAAAGUGGGGGCUAAGGAAGUUCGUGAUUUCAGACCUAUCAAUCUUGUGGGUAGCUUUUAUAAGAUUCUCUCCAAAGUCUUGGCAGACAGGCUAAAGAAGAUUACAGGGAAACUCAUCUCUCCUCACCAAUUAGCAUUCACUAAGGGGCGACAGAUCACUGAUGCAACCCUUAUAGCGAAUGAACGUUUACCCCCUGUUUGGAUGGUGGUUUCUCGUGGUUCAUUAAUGUUUGGUUUUCUAUGAAACCAUGUUUGUUUU
Lycium barbarum (goji berry) is the source of this 4002-nucleotide RNA transcript. RefSeq lists it as uncharacterized. The transcript has 4 exons. NCBI's taxonomy places the organism in Eukaryota, Viridiplantae, Streptophyta, Magnoliopsida, Solanales, Solanaceae. The record is from RefSeq and is a predicted model, not a curated record.